This 429-nucleotide ribosomal RNA is filed under the name Actinomycetes bacterium. Its description in RNAcentral is "Actinobacteria bacterium partial 16S ribosomal RNA". It matches the Rfam family "Bacterial small subunit ribosomal RNA", at positions 355 to 776 of the family's 1533-position model. The record is from RNAcentral. Lineage: Bacteria; Bacillati; Actinomycetota; Actinomycetes.
UAGGGAAUCUUCCGCAAUGGGCGAAAGCCUGACGGAGCAACGCCGCGUGAGUGAUGAAGGUCUUCGGAUCGUAAAACUCUGUUAUUAGGGAAGAACAAAUGUGUAAGUAACUAUGCACGUCUUGACGGUACCUAAUCAGAAAGCCACGGCUAACUACGUGCCAGCAGCCGCGGUAAUACGUAGGUGGCAAGCGUUAUCCGGAAUUAUUGGGCGUAAAGCGCGCGUAGGCGGUUUUUUAAGUCUGAUGUGAAAGCCCACGGCUCAACCGUGGAGGGUCAUUGGAAACUGGAAAACUUGAGUGCAGAAAAGGAAAGUGGAAUUCCAUGUGUAGCGGUGAAAUGCGCAGAGAUAUGGAGGAACACCAGUGGCGAAGGCGGCUUUCUGGUCUGUAACUGACGCUGAUGUGCGAAAGCGUGGGGAUCAAACAGG